AAGGAUUCCCCUAGUAACGGCGAGUGAAGCGGGAUGAGCUCAAGCUUAAAAUCUCUGUGUCGGUUCGGCAUGGCGAAUUGUAGUCUAUGGAGGCGCUGUCAGUGCGACUAUGUGGGUUAAGUUCCUUGGAAGAGGACAGCAUCGAGGGUGAUACUCCCGUAUGUACCUGUGUAGUUGCGCGUACGACACGUUUUCUUUGAGUCGUGUUGUUUGGGAAUGCAGCACAAAGUAGGUGGUAAAUUCCAUCUAAAGCUAAAUAUUGGUGCGAGACCGAUAGCGAACAAGUACCGUGAGGGAAAGAUGAAAAGAACUUUGAAAAGAGAGUUAAAGAGUACCUGAAACCGCUGAAAGGGAACCGGAUCGUUUCCAGUGUCUAUAAUCUAUGGCAUAUUUCAUUGGCGUGUGGGUGCGUGCAGCGUUUUGGAAGUAGUUUUCUGCUCCUGUCGUUGUUUUGCGCUCGCCUGCUGGUGCCCUGUGCUGUAGUGGGACGUCAGAGUCAAUUCGUAUGCUGCGGGAAAUGGUUACUGGGGAGGUAGGUCACUUCGGUGGCUGUUAUAUCCUGGUGACUAGUCGUCGUGGUUGGGAUUGAGGUGCCUACAAUGUGCUUUCGAGUCUGUGGGUCUCUCGUUUGGCCGUUUGCCUUGAUAGCUUGCUAUGUUGGUGAAUGUGUCGGGCGAUUGGGAUCUGUAGUAACUUGUUGCCGUUCGGGACUUUGACGA
Molecule: ribosomal RNA, 719 nt
Filed under: Pythium adhaerens
Lineage: Eukaryota; Oomycota; Peronosporomycetes; Pythiales; Pythiaceae
Description: eukaryotic LSU rRNA
Rfam family: Eukaryotic large subunit ribosomal RNA
Source: RNAcentral